This 248-nucleotide unclassified non-coding RNA is filed under the name Hevea brasiliensis (rubber tree). The record is from RNAcentral. Lineage: Eukaryota; Viridiplantae; Streptophyta; Magnoliopsida; Malpighiales; Euphorbiaceae.
GUUGCCUUCCUCGUCAAAGCUGCAAAGUUCCUUAACUUUCGCUAUCUGAAUGAUCAAACCCCGCACCAGAUCAUGCAAUUUGUAUUUAUAGACUCUUUCAUCAGAGUCUUGCCUGUGCACAACCUCAACAAGGCAUGUGCUCACCAGCUUAGACAGGCUUUCAAAGCCCAUUUCUAUUGCAGUUUUCGAGUCUUUGCCCUGGAUGAAUUCUUCUCCGACCCACCAAUGGAUUAACUUUUCAGCUUGUA